This 24-nucleotide non-coding RNA is filed under the name Drosophila melanogaster (fruit fly). RNAcentral also lists the same sequence under 5 other names. The record is from RNAcentral. Lineage: Eukaryota; Metazoa; Arthropoda; Insecta; Diptera; Drosophilidae.
GGUUAGCACUCUGGACUCUGAAUC